Molecule: ribosomal RNA, 484 nt
Filed under: uncultured bacterium
Lineage: Bacteria
Description: partial 16S ribosomal RNA
Rfam family: Bacterial small subunit ribosomal RNA
Source: RNAcentral
GGGGGGGGGGGGGGGGGGGGGGGGGGGGGGGGGGGGGGGGGGAGGAAGGGGGGGUGCUCCUGGAUUCAGCGGCGGACGGGGGAGUAAUGCCUAGGAAUCUGCCUGGUAGUGGGGGAUAACGUCCGGGAACGGGCGCUAAUACCGCAUACGUCCUGAGGGAGAAAGUGGGGGAUCUUCGGACCUCACGCUAUCAGAUGAGCCUAGGUCGGAUUAGCUAGUUGGUGGGGUAAAGGCCUACCAAGGCGACGAUCCGUAACUGGUCUGAGAGGAUGAUCAGUCACACUGGAACUGAGACACGGUCCAGACUCCUACGGGAGGCAGCAGUGGGGAAUAUUGGACAAUGGGCGAAAGCCUGAUCCAGCCAUGCCGCGUGUGUGAAGAAGGUCUUCGGAUUGUAAAGCACUUUAAGUUGGGAGGAAGGGCAGUAAGUUAAUACCUUGCUGUUUUGACGUUACCAACAGAAUAAGCACCGGCUAACUUCGUG